Molecule: ribosomal RNA, 253 nt
Filed under: uncultured bacterium
Lineage: Bacteria
Description: partial 16S ribosomal RNA
Rfam family: Bacterial small subunit ribosomal RNA
Source: RNAcentral
GACGUGGGGGGCGAGCGUUGUCCGGAUUUAUUGGGCGUAAAGCGCGCGCAGGCGGCCUUUUAAGUCUGAUGUGAAAGCCCACGGCUCAACCGUGGAAGGUCAUUGGAAACUGAAAGGCUUGAGUACAGAAGAGGAAAGCGGAAUUCCACGUGUAGCGGUGAAAUGCGUAGAGAUGUGGAGGAACACCAGUGGCGAAGGCGGCUUUCUGGUCUGUAACUGACGCUGAGGCGCGAAAGCGUGGGGAGCAAACAGG